This 484-nucleotide ribosomal RNA is filed under the name uncultured bacterium. RNAcentral describes it as "partial 16S ribosomal RNA". It matches the Rfam family "Bacterial small subunit ribosomal RNA", at positions 30 to 507 of the family's 1533-position model. The record is from RNAcentral.
AUUGAACGCUGGCGGCAGGCCUAACACAUGCAAGUCGAGCGGAUGAAGGGAGCUUGCUCCUGGAUUCAGCGGCGGACGGGUGAGUAAUGCCUAGGAAUCUGCCUGGUAGUGGGGGAUAACGUCCGGAAACGGGCGCUAAUACCGCAUACGUCCUGAGGGAGAAAGUGGGGGAUCUUCGGACCUCACGCUAUCAGAUGAGCCUAGGUCGGAUUAGCUAGUUGGUGGGGUAAAGGCCUACCAAGGCGACGAUCCGUAACUGGUCUGAGAGGAUGAUCAGUCACACUGGAACUGAGACACGGUCCAGACUCCUACGGGAGGCAGCAGUGGGGAAUAUUGGACAAUGGGCGAAAGCCUGAUCCAGCCAUGCCGCGUGUGUGAAGAAGGUCUUCGGAUUGUAAAGCACUUUAAGUUGGGAGGAAGGGCAGUAUGUUAAUACCUUGCUGUUUUGACGUUACCAACAGAAUAAGCACCGGCUAACUACGUG